RNAcentral lists this ribosomal RNA (467 nucleotides) under uncultured bacterium. Its description in RNAcentral is "partial 16S ribosomal RNA". It matches the Rfam family "Bacterial small subunit ribosomal RNA", at positions 28 to 507 of the family's 1533-position model. The record is from RNAcentral.
GACGGACGCUGGCGGCGUGCUUAACACAUGCAAGUCGAACGGAAAGGCCUCUUUCGGGGGGUACUCGAGUGGCGAACGGGUGAGUAACACGUGAGUAACCUGCCCUUGACUUUGGGAUAACUUCAGGAAACUGGGGCUAAUACCGGAUAGGAGCUCCUGCUGCAUGGUGGGGGUUGGAAAGUUUCGGCGGUUGGGGAUGGACUCGCGGCUUAUCAGCUUGUUGGUGGGGUAGUGGCUUACCAAGGCUUUGACGGGUAGCCGGCCUGAGAGGGUGACCGGCCACAUUGGGACUGAGAUACGGCCCAGACUCCUACGGGAGGCAGCAGUGGGGAAUAUUGCACAAUGGGUGGAAGCCCGAUGCAGCAACGCCGUGUGCGGGAUGACGGCCUUCGGGUUGUAAACCGCUUUCGCUCAUGACGAAGCUUUGUGUGACGGUAGUGGGUAAAGAAGCACCGGCUAACUACGUG